AAUCUUUAUUCAUGCAACAGUAGCAGCAGUAGUAGAGAUAAGAGUAUGAGUAAGAUUCUACAUUACCUGCUUACGUGACGCACUCGUUAUUAGGUUUUUCAAUUUAAUCGUAAUUAAAAUUGUUCCAUUUGCGAAUUGCUUCGUAGGAUUUCGAAAUUUGUUUUAUUUGUCGUAAAUUAUUGUUUACGUUUUCACUUUGAGAAGCGAAAUCGCGAAACGAUUUCGUAAGGCGAGCAAGGUAUAGAGUAGAAUUCAACCUGGCGAAUUUAUUAAUUAAAACGAAAAUGCAUUUAUGAUUCGAAGGUAAUUGGCAAAUUUUUGAAUUUUUAAUAGGAAAAAAAAAAAAAAAUCCUGAGAUAUUAUGCGAAUAAUCGUUAGCAUAAAUUGUAAAUGCAAAUCUGAAAAUCGAUUUUUUUCCUUCCUCCUCCCGUUAUUAAUUGAAAAAACUUGCUUCUGCUUUUUUUUUAUUUUUGUUUCGAUAUGUUCAUUUACCCAAUAUACUUUAUUGACACGUGUAAUUUUUGUAAUAUUUCUUCCACUGUCGUGUGUAUGGGUGAUAACAAAACUUUGAACUUCCGCGAUUUGCCCAGAUGUUAGAGCGUUUAUGACUUUUGCGACAUCUGCUCUUCUAUGUCUUGUUCGUUUGUCAACAGGAAAUGACGUCUCUUCCACUCUCAGAAAGAAACACAGAGACAGAAGAAAAACUAAAGAAAAAAGAAACUUUCACACGGAAGAAGACGAGCGAGUUAAAUUUACUAAAUAACAAGUGUUGUCUUUCCCUUAGGGGACAUUAAAGACGUCUUGGAGCUGACCUUCUUAACAGAUCUAUCCUUUCAUUUUUUCAGGACAUCUUAAUGAGAUUUCGGAAAAAAGAGAAACUCUAUAUUUGGAUAAAUAAACUUCGAAAAAUAUCUUCCUAUCUUAUUCUUGCACCUUUUAAAUUAGUAAAACAAUACUUAAGCAUCCUCCAAAGAAAGGAAAACUAACAUCACAUAAAAGCAAAUCUAAAGAAGCAGUUGGAUAUUUCUGCCAGAGGAAGAAAAAAAUCGUCUCGCUUGGUUUCAGAUUUUCUUGCAAUUAACAAAAUAAUUUUGUCAUCAUUCUGUUCCUCCGGAAGUAAGUUUGAAUCAUCGGCAGUGGAAAAGAGUUUUCGCCACAUCAGCUACUUCCUCUGCAACCCCUGGGGGAGAAAGACUUCUCUAAAAUCAAUAGAAGGUCUGGCUCGGAGAAUGUAAGGGUGACUGGCUUGAAUGUAAAGUGCUACUUUACUCGCUCUGACCAAAAUAUACGGAUCUGAAAGUCAUCGCCGUAAAUUGAGAAAAUGACUUUUUCCUCUUUUUCUUUUUUUUUCCUCCUUCCUUCUUAAGAGAGCUGAUUGCACACUUUGUCCUCUGGGGACUUUCAUUGUCGGUAUGUAAGAUAAUGGAAAUUUCCCAUGUCUCCUGUGAAUAUUUUCAAACAGAAUUAGUCAACUUAUGUUUCUUUUUUGAUAAGAUUUCUUCCUUCUCCUCUUCUUCCUCCACCUCCUUCACUUCUUAAUUAUUCAAUUACUUUUACUUUCUGCAAAGAAAAGAAUCGAACAGCCCAACAGCCUAAUUUGCAUUCUUAACAUAAACAUUUCAAUUUGUAAAAAAAAAAGAAAGAAAAAAAGAAGAAAACCACAUCUGAUUAUCCGAACGUCAUCGUGUCUGUCAGUGUGUUUAUUUAAUUAACUUCAAAGCUACAAUUCAGCUUUGGUUCAAAAUUUAUACUUGAGAAUCACCUUAUGACCGCGUUAUAGUAACAAAUUAUUAUUAUUAUUAUUUUGAUUAAUCUGGUAAAAAAUUAUAUAUUUUCUUUUGUAAGC
This 1846-nucleotide long non-coding RNA is filed under the name Androctonus crassicauda. Lineage: Eukaryota; Metazoa; Arthropoda; Arachnida; Scorpiones; Buthidae. The record is from RNAcentral.